Molecule: long non-coding RNA, 558 nt
Organism: Anopheles merus
Lineage: Eukaryota; Metazoa; Arthropoda; Insecta; Diptera; Culicidae
Exons: 3
Source: RefSeq, a predicted model, not a curated record
GGUUGAAGCAUUCAGUGUAAAUUGACAAACAGCUGUGGGAAAAAUUUGACAUUUCGGUAAGAAGUUGUUUACCUUCAUACGACGGCGGUGGUUUUAGAAAAAAAACGAGUUACACGCGUACCGAGUUUUUAAAAACGACCUAUAUUCCAUCCAAAUAUUAAAAUAAUCGAAGUUUUGGUGCAGUUUAACUCGUUUAAAGUGUACAACAUGACAACAACUUGCGCUGCAUCUUUUUGUAGCAAUAGCCGGUAUCUGGCAAAAAAGCACAACAUCGACAUCAUUUUCCAUAAAUUUCCAACUGAGCCAGUUCUUUUGCGCAAAUGGAUAUUAUUUUGCAAACAAGAAGACAAAUGGACUCCUUCAAAAAACCAUAUUUUGUGCUCCUCACAUUUCGUGAAGGACGAUUACCAGCUCAUCAACUCACCGUCCAAGGAAAACAAGAAGACGUUUAAGAAGCUGAAACCAGUUGAUGCUGGCCGGAAAUCAGAAGGCAGCGAUCACAACGCACGAAUCACUCGGCUGACACUAUCAAUGCUUCAAAGCGGCCAAGGCUGCUUU